AGUGAACGCUGGCGGUAGGCCUAACACAUGCAAGUCGAACGGCAGCACAGUAAGAGCUUGCUCUUACGGGUGGCGAGUGGCGGACGGGUGAGGAAUACAUCGGAAUCUACUUUUUCGUGGGGGAUAGCGUAGGGAAACUUACGCUAAUACCGCAUACGACCUACGGGUGAAAGCAGGGGAUCUUCGGACCUUGCGCGAUUGAAUGAGCCGAUGUCGGAUUAGCUAGUUGGCGGGGUAAAGGCCCACCAAGGCGACGAUCCGUAGCUGGUCUGAGAGGAUGAUCAGCCACACUGGAACUGAGACACGGUCCAGACUCCUACGGGAGGCAGCAGUGGGGAAUAUUGGACAAUGGGCGCAAGCCUGAUCCAGCCAUACCGCGUGGGUGAAGAAGGCCUUCGGGUUGUAAAGCCCUUUUGUUGGGAAAGAAAAGCAGCAGGUUAAUACCCCGCUGUUCUGACAGUACCCAAAGAAUAAGCACCGGCUAACUUCGUG
RNAcentral lists this ribosomal RNA (492 nucleotides) under uncultured bacterium. RNAcentral describes it as "partial 16S ribosomal RNA". It matches the Rfam family "Bacterial small subunit ribosomal RNA", at positions 29 to 507 of the family's 1533-position model. The record is from RNAcentral.